RNAcentral lists this transfer RNA (84 nucleotides) under Deltaproteobacteria bacterium. RNAcentral describes it as "tRNA-Leu". It matches the Rfam family "tRNA". From Rfam's summary of the family: Transfer RNA (tRNA) molecules are approximately 80 nucleotides in length. Their secondary structure includes four short double-helical elements and three loops (D, anti-codon, and T loops). Further hydrogen bonds mediate the characteristic L-shaped molecular structure. tRNAs have two regions of fundamental functional importance: the anti-codon, which is responsible for specific mRNA codon recognition, and the 3' end, to which the tRNAs corresponding amino acid is attached (by aminoacyl-tRNA synthetases). tRNAs cope with the degeneracy of the genetic code in two manners: having more than one tRNA (with a specific anti-codon) for a particular amino acid; and 'wobble' base-pairing, i.e. permitting non-standard base-pairing at the 3rd anti-codon position. Lineage: Bacteria; Pseudomonadati; Myxococcota; Myxococcia. The record is from RNAcentral.
GCGAGAGUGGCGGAACUGGCAGACGCACCAGAUUCAGGUUCUGGCGCCCGCAAGGGUAUAGGGGUUCGAUUCCCCUCUCUCGCA